UCACUUUUUGCAAAUUAAUAGGAGUAGCAUAGAAACGAACAAAACGCAAAUUAAUAGCAAUAGCAUAUAAUAAGUGUUUAUAAGCAUCAACUAUAGAAAUGCUCCACCUAUAUCUAAUUUGGUGUUUAUCAAUUUGAAUCACUUAGGUCCUUUAGAAAAUAAAUUAAACGAAUUUUAAAUAUUGAGUUAAAAAAAUAAUCUCAAAUUUUAAAUAUCCAACUGCAGCAUCAUCCAGGCAACAUAAUAGUAUUCAUUACAAUCCCUAAUCACUAUAGUCUACAACAAAAGACAAAUUUAGAAAUAGAAUUGGGUGGGUUUGGGAGGCCUGCACAAGCGAGUUCUGCAAAAGUAAGCAGCGUCACAGCUUGGCUAGCCUAUACCCCCUCCAAAAAUAAUUGCGCACCAAUUUAUAUUGAUAGACGCUGCGGUCGGUUCUCACCGCCCGCUUUGUUUUCCUUACUCAUUAGUUUAAGGCAGUUUGCUUUAUCAGUCAAAACUCCUACUUAUACAACCCUAAAUCAACAUCCUCUUACGUUUUGACUGAUAUGGGACAAAUAAAACACAAAACUCCCUUCAUUUCUUUCCAUCCAAAACAAAAACAAAUGACUGAAUGAAAGAACUAAAAGCAAAGAAAUGGAGACACAACAACAAUACCAGUCAUGGAAAUUGGGAUUUUCAUUUAAAAAUGCAAACAAGUGUAUUUGUUUGUUGAAUUUGGUUACUACUCUUUUCUUGCUUCAGGGCUUUUUUACUCCCUCCUCUUCUUCUCGUAGAUUUCUUCAAGAUCAUCCUAAUUCAGGUAAACCAAUUAAACUAUCUUACUAAGCAAUUUUCCACAUCAAAGAUCCAAUCUUCAGUUUUAGAUCAAUUAGCAAAUAUGUACACAUCCACAAACUUUGCUCGAAUCCGUAUCAGUUGAAGUCCAAUAGGUUCUGGAUUAGCGGAUGAGGUGCCCUCAAAAUAGAAGUGCAAAGUGAUUUUGUAAAAGCUUUUGUAGUUUCUGGGUUAUGAUGGUUGAUUUCCCAAAAUCUAGAAAAUCUGAUUUAUAAGAGUUUUCUUUUGCUGUAGUCAAGUGAGCAGCAUUUUGUAUUUUGGUCAAUUUUAUGUCUUAAUUUACUUUGGAAUGAUAAAAGAGAAUGCAGAUCAUCUGUUGAUUGAUUUUAUUUGGGGUUGACUUAACAGGUUUUCAUGAUAAAUUUGUUGGAAAACGUUACUUUUUAACUUUCGUUGUUGCACAUGAAUCAAUUUGUUGGGUUUUCAUGAAUGACUUUUUCUUGAAUUGGGUUUCAGCUGCACAUUGCGUGCUUCCUGUGAUAAAGGCCUCGUCAACAUACUUGUCUUUGAAAGAGUUCUCCAAUUAGUCUUUUGAUGCAUUUUGUUUAAAUUUGGUCUGAGGGUUGGGAUUAAAUGGCAGUUAUAUUGUUAUUAAAUAGGAAUUGGGGCUACCAGCAGUCAUAUUUCAUAUAUUGAUGUUGAUGUUCUUGGAAAUCUGAUGCAAGUAUGGGAUUUGAUUCACUUGUGUCUUGUCAUUGUGCAUUAUUGCAUUUAUGAUAAGAUUUCUUUGAAAUGAGAUUUAUUUUAUUUGAGACGGCAGUAUGACAAUCUCCUUCGUGGAACUAGAAUGAUAUACAGAGCCAGAGACAGUUCAACAUACAGAGACGAAGCAGACUGCUGCAGUCGAUCUGUCUAAGAGGUUAACCAAUGCCCGCACUUUUACUGAUGCAGCUAGCAUAAAAGCUUCGGAAGAAUGGCGGAAGCGAAAGAUGGAGCGUGCCAGACAACGGGAAAUGGGAAGAAACGCAACAGCUGCCUCUUAAGCAAUAUGAAUAUUACUUUCCUUCAAACUGGUCUUGUAAUCUUCUUAAUAGCUGACUGACAUAUAGAAUUUGGAUGUCUAGCUGUCAAUUUUUUCCCUUGUGCUCAAGCUUUUCAUGUAAAUCUAGGUCCUGUAAUGAUUAGUAUUCUUUGAGAACACGGCUAAGUUGGGGAAAUAAGUGUAAAGAAAAUCAUGUUUUCGAGUGACUUUUGAGUACAAUAAUGUAAGUUGUAAUGAAUAUUUUUGUCUAA
Molecule: long non-coding RNA, 2067 nt
Organism: Spinacia oleracea (spinach)
Lineage: Eukaryota; Viridiplantae; Streptophyta; Magnoliopsida; Caryophyllales; Amaranthaceae
Exons: 2
Source: RefSeq, a predicted model, not a curated record